CAACAACGGAUCUCUUGGUUCUGGCAUCGAUGAAGAACGCAGCGAAAUGCGAUAAGUAAUGUGAAUUGCAGAAUUCAGUGAAUCAUCGAAUCUUUGAACGCACAUUGCGCCCGCCAGUAUUCUGGCGGGCAUGCCUGUUCGAGCGUCAUUUCAACC
This 156-nucleotide ribosomal RNA is filed under the name Hypocreales sp. DH-A1. RNAcentral describes it as "Verticillium sp. DH-A1 5.8S ribosomal RNA". It matches the Rfam family "5.8S ribosomal RNA". From Rfam's summary of the family: 5.8S ribosomal RNA (5.8S rRNA) is a component of the large subunit of the eukaryotic ribosome. It is transcribed by RNA polymerase I as part of the 45S precursor that also contains 18S and 28S rRNA. Functionally, it is thought that 5.8S rRNA may be involved in ribosome translocation. Lineage: Eukaryota; Fungi; Ascomycota; Sordariomycetes; Hypocreales. The record is from RNAcentral.